Molecule: ribosomal RNA, 483 nt
Filed under: uncultured bacterium
Lineage: Bacteria
Description: partial 16S ribosomal RNA
Rfam family: Bacterial small subunit ribosomal RNA
Source: RNAcentral
GACGAACGCUGGCGGCGUGCUUAACACAUGCAAGUCGAACGCUGAAGCUCAGCUUUUGUUGGGUGGAUGAGUGGCGAACGGGUGAGUAACACGUGAGUAACCUGCCCCCUUCUUUGGGAUAACGCCCGGAAACGGGUGCUAAUACUGGAUAUUCACUGGUCUUCGCAUGGGGGUUGGUGGAAAGGGUUUUUCUGGUGGGGGAUGGGCUCGCGGCCUAUCAGCUUGUUGGUGGGGUGAUGGCCUACCAAGGCUUUGACGGGUAGCCGGCCUGAGAGGGUGAACGGUAACAUUGGGACUGAGAUACGGCCCAGACUCCGACGGGGGGCAGCAGUGGGGAAUAUGGCACAAUGGGCGCAAGCCUGAUGCAGCGACGGCGCGUGAGGGAUGGAGGCCGUCGGGUUGUGAACCUCGUUCGCUAAUGGUCAAGCCGCAACAAUGGUUGUGGUGAGGGUAGUGGGUAAAGAAGCGCCGGCUAACUACGUG